RNAcentral lists this ribosomal RNA (429 nucleotides) under Gemmatimonadota bacterium. Its description in RNAcentral is "Gemmatimonadetes bacterium partial 16S ribosomal RNA". It matches the Rfam family "Bacterial small subunit ribosomal RNA", at positions 355 to 776 of the family's 1533-position model. The record is from RNAcentral. Lineage: Bacteria; Pseudomonadati; Gemmatimonadota.
UAGGGAAUCUUCGGCAAUGGACGAAAGUCUGACCGAGCAACGCCGCGUGAGUGAAGAAGGUUUUCGGAUCGUAAAACUCUGUUGUUAGAGAAGAACAAGGACGUUAGUAACUGAACGUCCCCUGACGGUAUCUAACCAGAAAGCCACGGCUAACUACGUGCCAGCAGCCGCGGUAAUACGUAGGUGGCAAGCGUUGUCCGGAUUUAUUGGGCGUAAAGCGAGCGCAGGCGGUUUCUUAAGUCUGAUGUGAAAGCCCCCGGCUCAACCGGGGAGGGUCAUUGGAAACUGGGAGACUUGAGUGCAGAAGAGGAGAGUGGAAUUCCAUGUGUAGCGGUGAAAUGCGUAGAGAUAUGGAGGAACACCAGUGGCGAAGGCGGCUCUCUGGUCUGUAACUGACGCUGAGGCUCGAAAGGGUGGGGAGCAAACAGG